This 497-nucleotide ribosomal RNA is filed under the name uncultured bacterium. RNAcentral's name for it is "partial 16S ribosomal RNA". It matches the Rfam family "Bacterial small subunit ribosomal RNA", at positions 28 to 507 of the family's 1533-position model. The record is from RNAcentral.
GAUGAACGCUGGCGGCGUGCCUAAUACAUGCAAGUCGAGCGAACAGACGAGGAGCUUGCUCCUCUGACGUUAGCGGCGGACGGGUGAGUAACACGUGGAUAACCUACCUAUAAGACUGGGAUAACUUCGGGAAACCGGAGCUAAUACCGGAUAAUAUAUUGAACCGCAUGGUUCAAUAGUGAAAGACGGUUUUGCUGUCACUUAUAGAUGGAUCCGCGCCGCAUUAGCUAGUUGGUAAGGUAACGGCUUACCAAGGCGACGAUGCGUAGCCGACGUGAGAGGGUGAUCGGCGACACUGGAAGGGGGACGGGGACCAUACUCCUACGGGAGGCAGCAGUAGGGAAUGGUCCGCAAUGGGCGGAAGCCUGACGGAACGACGCCGCGUGAGUGAUGACAGUCUUGGGAGCGUAAAACUCUGUUAUUAGGGAAGAACAAAUGUGUAAGGAACUAUGCACGUCUUGACGGUACCGGAUCAGAAAGCCACGGCUAACUACGUG